ACGCCACAGUAAUGAUAUUGCUGACUUCAAUUGAAGCAAAUGCUUGUCACUUGCAAAAUGAUUUGUGACAGUGGACAGACUUGGUGCAGGGGUACUUCAGGUCUGGCCGACAAGGACAUCAGGUUCUUCUCGUGGGGAAGGUUUGUAACGGGGCAAAAUUCAUCAGGGGUACACUGAGGAAAACCACGCUGGAACGACACAGUGGGCAGUGACAACCCAUGGGACAAUGUUGAAAUCAGCAGCGUCGACAAAAUUAGCAGCAGGGGCUGAGUCUAGACAAUGGAUGGUUCAAGGCUUGACAAAAACACUAUUGACAUGAAUGGCAACGUGCAUGGGCAGUGACAGAUUCGGUAGCAGUGUAAGUCUAGCGAUUCAGCAGGACAUGGGUUGAUGUUCAGCAUGAAUUCUGACUUGGACAGCGGACAGUCCAAGGCAUGCUGAGACACAGUAGACUGACAGCAUGGGUGUUGACAGUUGGGCAGUUGGUUUGUGGGAGGCAAGCCGAGUUACAGCAGUUUGGGACAGUUUAUGGCAGUUUUCAGCAGUUUCUUGUAUGGGGAGAAAUGGCCAGGACAUGUGGAAAAGUGUCUUAAUCUGUGUAGGAGCUUAGGGACUGUUUUCUUUGUAACUUCCACUAUGUUCUAAUAUAUGUAGGCUGUAAAUAUUUACAGUGUAGCAUGCAAGGCAGUGACUGUGCAUGAGUUCCAUGUAAUAGUUUAGUUGACAUCACUUGUAUACUUCAAACAAAUAUAGACAGCACAAAAACAUUUUAAUUUGAUCUCUGGCUCUGCAGCUUGACCAUGUAACAACCAGUUAGGAUUUAGCCUUGAAUUCGAAAUUUCAGUAACCAGAAUCAUUCCUGUCACAUUGUGGAUAGUUUUGAAAGCAGCCAUAUUUUUGGCUAGGAUCUAAAAAAAAAAAAAAACAUGGGCAUCCAUUACAAUCCAACCAAAGUAACAUCCUGAAAGAGGAGGCCUUAAAACAGCCCAACAGUAACAUUUUCACAGUGAAUUCCAAAGGCUAGUUGCACAAAGAUACUAUUAAACCAGUGCAAACACACCCAAAGAUUAUAACAGCAAAAGUUUCUUUACAGCAUGAAAAGCUCCUAGGAAGGUAUGUUUAUUGUUCAGUGGCCCAAGAAGCCAGUAAGCUUAUCGGUAAGAAUUUUACCCGUUUUAAGGAGCAAAUCAAAUAUGUUUUGAGUUUCACCAUCAUUUACAAAUAAUAUAGGAUCCUCUGUCAUGUAACCUAAUGAACCCAUUGUAGUUUUUUGGGACACAGUUUAUAAUCAAGGUAACAUGAAGAGUUUCGAGACAGCAUAGUUUAUAAUCUUGAAGAGAACUAUCAUGAGAUUGGUGAUAAGAGAUUUAACUGCAUAAAAAUCAUGCCCAAAACAAAUCCAGACAAGUCAAAGAAUGACCCAUCCAAAUAAACUAAAAUCAGGCAUUAAAAAAAUUAAAUCUUUAAAGAAAAUCAUAAUGAUAAUAAUAAAAGGAAAAAAAGUUAAAUUCACUUACAUAUUGGUAGAGCAUAGAGUGAAAAUCAAGCAUUAAAAAAAUUAAAUCUUUAAGGAAAUAAUAAUAAUAGUAGUAGUAGUAGAAGAAGAAGAAGAAAAAAAGAGUGAAAUUCACUUAC
Molecule: long non-coding RNA, 1635 nt
Filed under: Populus trichocarpa (black cottonwood)
Lineage: Eukaryota; Viridiplantae; Streptophyta; Magnoliopsida; Malpighiales; Salicaceae
Description: long non-coding RNA (PTRI_LNC002377)
Source: RNAcentral